CCGCCAGAAAACUACGAGCGAAAAGCUUAAAACUCAAAGGACUUGGCGGUGCUUCACACCCGACUUAGAGGAGCCUGUCCUAUAAUCGAUACUCCACGCUAAACCUCACCAUUCAUUGCCAAACAGCCUAUAUACCGCCGUCACCAACUUACCCCAUGAGGGCUCAACAGUAAAUAAAAUAGUUAAAUUAACUAAAACGUCAGGUCAAGGUGUAGCUAAUAGAAUGGCAGAGAUGGGCUACAUUUUUU
RNAcentral lists this ribosomal RNA (248 nucleotides) under Phrynosoma taurus. RNAcentral describes it as "partial 12S ribosomal RNA". It matches the Rfam family "Bacterial small subunit ribosomal RNA", at positions 869 to 1235 of the family's 1533-position model. Lineage: Eukaryota; Metazoa; Chordata; Lepidosauria; Squamata; Phrynosomatidae. The record is from RNAcentral.